AAUGAACGCUGGCGGUAUGCCUAAUACAUGCAAGUCGAACGAGAAAGUCCAGCAAUGGAUAAGUAAAGUGGCGUACGGGUGAGUAAUGUAUAGGAAUCUACCUGAUAGUGGGGAAUAAGCACUGGAAACGGUGUCUAAUACCCCAUAUUACCAUUUAUUUGGGAAAGGGUUAGUUUUCUAGAUAUGAUUCCAAAAUUAGAUUCUGCAAAGAAUCUUUAGAAGGUUUGGAAGUGAGCGCCGUAGAUGUACAUCUUGGUACAUGCGGAGCAGAGCAACGAAUCGAUAAUAGAGUUCAAAGUAAAAAUGAUUUUGGAAUCAUGUCCAGUGACUAACCUGCUAUCAGAUGAGCCUAUAUCGGAUUAGCUAGUUGGUGGGGUAAAGGCCUACCAAGGCAAUGAUCCGUAGCUGGUCUGAGAGGGUGAUCAGCCACAUUGGGACUGCGACACGGCCCAAACUCCUACGGGAGGCAGCAGUAGGGAAUAUUGGACAAUGGGCGAAAGCCUAAUCCAGCAAUACCGCGUGAAUGAUGAAGGUCUUAGGAUUGUAAAGUUCUUUCGGUGGGGAAGAUAGUGACGGUACCCACAGAAGAAGCACCGGCUAACUUCGUGCCAGCAGCCGCGGUAAUACGAAGGGUGCUAGCGUUAUUCGGAAUCACUGGGCGUAAAGCGCGUGUAGGCGGUUUAAUAAGUUAGCUAUGAAAUCCCCGGGCUUAACCUGGGAACUGUAGUUAAAACUAUUUUACUAGAGUAUAGUAGGCGAUGGCGGAAUUCUUAGUGUAGGGGUAAUAUCCGUAGAUAUUAAGAGGAACACCGAUGGUGAAGACAGCUAUCUAGACUGUAACUGACGCUAAAGCGCGAAGGCAUGGGUAGCAAACAGGAUUAGAUACCCUGGUAGUCCAUGCAGUAAACGAUGAUUACUAAGUGUCUGGAUUUUAGAUCUGGGUGCUAAAGCUAACGCGUUAAGUAAUCCGCCUGAGUAGUACGACCGCAAGGUUAAAACUUAAGGGAAUUGACGGGGACCCGCACAAGCGGUGGAACACGUGGUUUAAUUCGAUAGUCCGCGAAAAACCUUACCAACUCUUGACAUCCCGAUUACGAAGUCAGAAAUGACUUUUUCAGUUCGGCUGGAUCGGUGACAGGUGUUGCAUGGCCGUCGUCAGCUCGUGCCGUGAGGUGUUAGGUUAAGUCCUUUAACGAGCGCAACCCCUAUCUCUAUUUGCCAUCAGGUAAUGCUGGGAACUAUAGAGAGACUGUUAGUGAUAAACUAAAGGAAGAUGGGGAUGAGGUCAGGUCAUCACGACCCUUAUGGGUUGGGCCACACAUAUGUUACAAUGGGAGUUACAGAGGGAUGCAAAGGGGUGACCCAGAGCAAAUCCCUAAAAGCUCUCUCAGUUCGGAUUGCAGACUGCAACUCGUCUGCAUGAAGUUGGAAUCGCUAGUAAUCGUAGAUCAGCACGCUACGGUGAAUACGUUCUCGGGU
Molecule: ribosomal RNA, 1479 nt
Filed under: uncultured Alphaproteobacteria bacterium
Lineage: Bacteria; Pseudomonadati; Pseudomonadota; Alphaproteobacteria
Description: bacterial SSU rRNA
Rfam family: Bacterial small subunit ribosomal RNA
Source: RNAcentral